GACGAACGCUGGCGGCGUGCUUAACACAUGCAAGUCGAACGGGCCUGCCUUCUUUUUUGGGGGGUGGGUUGAGUGGCGAACGGGUGAGUAUCACGUGAGUAACCUGCCCUUCGGUCCUGGAUAACCGCUUGAAAGGGCGGCUAAUACGGGGUGGUCCGGUUGGUCCGCAUGGGCUGGUCGGGAUAGAUUCACUGUUUUUGGUGUUUCGGCGGGGGAUGGGCUCGCGGCCUAUCAGCUUGUUGGUGGGGUGAUGGCCUACCAAGGCGGGGACGGGUAGCCGGCCUGAGAGGGUGGGCGGCCACACUGGGACUGAGAUACGGCCCAGACUCCUGCGGGAGGCAGCAGUGGGGGGUAUUGCACAAUGGGCGGAAGCCUGAUGCAGCGACGUCGCGUGAGGGAUGGAGGCCUUCGGGUUGUGAACCUCUGUUUCCGGUGGUGAAGGCCCUGUCCGUGUGGUGGGGUUGACGGUAGCCGGGGAUGAAGCGCCGGCUAACUACGUG
Molecule: ribosomal RNA, 500 nt
Filed under: uncultured bacterium
Lineage: Bacteria
Description: partial 16S ribosomal RNA
Rfam family: Bacterial small subunit ribosomal RNA
Source: RNAcentral